CCUACGGGUGGCAGCAGUGAGGAAUAUUGGUCAAUGGACGCAAGUCUGAACCAGCCAUGCCGCGUGCAGGAAGACGGCUCUAUGAGUUGUAAACUGCUUUUGUACGAGGGUAAACGCAGAUACGUGUAUCUGUCUGAAAGUACCGUACGAAUAAGGAUCGGCUAACUCCGUGCCAGCAGCCGCGGUAAUACGGAGGAUUCAAGCGUUAUCCGGAUUUAUUGGGUUUAAAGGGUGCGUAGGUGGUCGGAUAAGUUAGAUGUGAAAUCCUGAGGCUCAACUUUGGAAUUGUCUCUGAUACUGUUCGUCUAGAGAGUAGUUGAGGUAGGCGGAAUUGAUGGUGUAGCGGUGAAAUGCUUAGAGAUCAUACAGAACACCGAUUGCGAAGGCAGCUUACCAAGCUACUUCUGACGUUGAGGCACGAAAGUGUGGGGAGCAAACAGGAUUAGAUACCCGAGUAGUC
This 460-nucleotide ribosomal RNA is filed under the name uncultured bacterium. RNAcentral's name for it is "partial 16S ribosomal RNA". It matches the Rfam family "Bacterial small subunit ribosomal RNA", at positions 338 to 795 of the family's 1533-position model. The record is from RNAcentral.